AUUUGUAUUUGAUUGAGAGUUUUGAUUAUGUGUGUUUCAAUUUUGAUUCUAUUUAUUUUGUAAUUAUUUGUGUUGUUGAUGGAUUUUAUUUCAUUGCCAUUGAGAAUUUGAGUAUUGGCUUCCUAUUGUUGAGAUUCUCCACCUACUAUUUCGCAAAGAAGAGGGAGAUGGGAAGAAACAGAAAAGAGAAAACACUAUAGGGCGCCCGCGCCCUUUUGAUCAAAGGCCGCUGGCAAACACGCUAAAGGGAGAGAGCAAAAGACGUAGCAGAAGCCUGUGGCAGAUUUACACAUAGGCCCACAGAUGCAAGAGGAGAGGAGGCCCUGUACAAAUGCAGGCAUGUAAUCGCAGCAAUCUGGUAACGUUCGUAAGCAGGCAUUGUAUAGGAAAUUUACACAUUCACCCCAUAUCAUGCUGCACGGUAUGGUAAACGAUGAGGGCAGAAAUGUCAUUGAAGAUCCUCCGAAUCAAUUGCAAUUCUACUUCGCAUUUCACUGUUAAUUUCUAGAUAAAAGUAAAACCCCAAAACUACGGUUUCUUUCCCCAGCCGCAGCCUGCAGCAUCCCCACCAUUUCCUUCGGCCGCGCUUCGGUUCAUCUCCUCCCUUAACCCCGAAGCUUCUUGGAUUCUCUUCUUCCCUUCAGUUCCUCGAACUCAAAUCAACCUUUCCCUUCAACUGGAUUCUCUGUUCUCCUUUGUUUCGAUUCUCUAUUAAUAGUCCUCGCUUAUUCCUUUUGGCAAUAGCUGGCAUCUGGGUCUGACAUUUACUCAGUUCUUCCUCUCGUCUCAACUAAGGCUCAAAUUUGAAAAAUGCAAGAAUAUGCCAAAUUCCAUAUUGUGAGGAUGUUUCUCCAGAACCUUAAUCAUUGCAAUCAUAGGUUGAAGUCAACAUCAUCACCUAUUUAUCUUAUUCGAAAUUUCUCACUUUGGUCCAUGAAGAAGGAUCCUGAUCUUGAGUCAGCCCUUUCACGAAACCGAAGAUGGAUAGUCAAUAAUCAAAUCAAGAACAUAAUAUUUAGAUACCCAAACCAGGUGGUACCUGUCAAUUAUCUCCAGAAGAAGUUCAAGACUCUUGAUCUUCAAGGAAAAGCUCUCAAUUGGCUUAAGAAGUACCCUUGUUGCUUUUCAGUGUUUCUUGGGAAUGAUGAGUAUUAUUGUCGAUUAACAAAGCCGAUGAUGUUUCGUG
Molecule: unclassified non-coding RNA, 1186 nt
Filed under: Hevea brasiliensis (rubber tree)
Lineage: Eukaryota; Viridiplantae; Streptophyta; Magnoliopsida; Malpighiales; Euphorbiaceae
Source: RNAcentral